AAUAGAUACCCCGGUAGUCCACGCCGUAAACGAUGAAUGCUAAGUGUUAGAGGGUUUCCGCCCUUUAGUGCUGCAGCUAACGCAUUAAGCACUCCGCCUGGGGAGUACGGCCGCAAGGCUGAAACUCAAAGGAAUUGACGGGGGCCCGCACAAGCGGUGGAGCAUGUGGUUUAAUUCGAAGCAACGCGAAGAACCUUACCAGGUCUUGACAUCCUCUGCCAACCCUAGAGAUAGGGCGUUCCCCUUCGGGGGACAGAGUGACAGGUGGUGCAUGGUUGUCGUCAGCUCGUGUCGUGAGAUGUUGGGUUAAGUCCCGCAACGAGCGCAACCCUUGAUCUUAGUUGCCAGCAUUCAGUUGGGCACUCUAAGGUGACUGCCGGUGACAAACCGGAGGAAGGUGGGGAUGACGUCAAAUCAUCAUGCCCCUUAUGACCUGGGCUACACACGUGCUACAAUGGAUGGUACAAAGAGCUGCGAACCCGCGAGGGUAAGCGAAUCUCAUAAAGCCAUUCUCAGUUCGGAUUGUAGG
RNAcentral lists this ribosomal RNA (529 nucleotides) under uncultured bacterium. RNAcentral describes it as "bacterial SSU rRNA". It matches the Rfam family "Bacterial small subunit ribosomal RNA", at positions 777 to 1304 of the family's 1533-position model. The record is from RNAcentral.